Molecule: unclassified non-coding RNA, 2394 nt
Organism: Vigna unguiculata (cowpea)
Lineage: Eukaryota; Viridiplantae; Streptophyta; Magnoliopsida; Fabales; Fabaceae
Source: RefSeq, a predicted model, not a curated record
UGGUCCAUAAUUUGACAACAUUUUCCGAAGAACAUGUGAAUUAACAAAAUAGGUAGCUGUGUUAUAAACAAGGAAAAAAUCAAUGGAUUGAUUCGUGAAUGUUGUCGGAACAAUGAAUAUGGGAGAGAACACGUGUUCGUAGGAGAAAGCAAACUCACGUACACGUGAUACAGAAGUGAGAGUUUGGGAAGUUUUGAACACAGACAAGCUGUAACAUUGUGUUCUUACUUUUCUCUCCCAUAAUUUUUACCAUACAAAUCCAAAUCCAAUUUCCAAUCUUCCCUACUAUUUCUAUUCCUAUUAUUAUUAAUAUCUCGUUGCCACCAUCCAUCCAACCUUAACCACCACCGUUUCUCUUGUGCUCUCAAUCUUUUCUUAAUUUGAGUGGCUGCAAAGCCCCACGUGUUACCUCCUUCACUUUUUUGGUUGUCCCCCUUUUUUGUUCACCACUUUCUUCAUCCAAUAAUCCCUUUGGAGGUUUAGGGUUUUGAUUCUCUCAACAACUCUCGCUUAAUUUAAGGAUAUUUCAUUCUUUUCAAUAACUGCCAUGUCUAAGAGGGUUCUUUGUAAGUUCUUUGCUCAUGGAGCCUGUCUGAAAGGGGAGCAUUGUGAAUAUUCUCAUGACUGGAAAGAUCCUCCAAAUAAUAUAUGCACAUUUUAUCAGAAAGGAGUCUGUGCUUAUGGUAGUCGCUGCAGAUAUGAUCACAUCAAAGCUUCUCAAGCGCAAUCUUCUAUUCCAUCUUCUUCAGUAAUUGAAAACCAUACUGUGGUUUCAGAUACUGGUGCUUUUGGAAAUAUUAUAACUACUUCAAAUGGUGUUGGUACAACUGCAGAGUUGUCUCUUUCCAGUAGUCCAUACAUUCUUCCUAGUGAACCGGCUUGGAAUCAUGAACUGGUUUGGAAUCCAGAAAUUGAGUAUUAUGAAAUUUUAGGGGAAGACAAUGUUGGUCAAUCCAUAAUCACUUCACCUUCUGAGAUUUCAAUCUGUUCAUUUGCUGCUGCUGGCAACUGUCCACGAGGGGAAAAAUGUCCUCAUAUUCAUGGGGAUCUGUGUCCCACCUGUGGAAAGCAUUGCUUGCAUCCUUUCCGACCUGAGGAAAGAGAAGAGCAUAUGAAGACUUGUGAAAGUAGGCAUAAGUAUCUUGAUGCAUUGAAAAGAAGUCAAGAAAUUGAAUGCAGUGUUUGCCUUGAGCGUGUUCUGUCAAAGCCUAUAUUAGCUGAACGCAAGUUUGGGCUGCUAUCCGAAUGUGAUCAUCCAUUUUGCAUAUCCUGUAUUAGGAAUUGGCGUAGUAGUAACCCAACAUUGGGGAUGGAUGUUAAUAGUACAUUGAGGGCUUGUCCUAUUUGUCGUAAGCUAUCGUACUUUGUCAUUCCAAGUGUCGUUUGGUACUCAACAACUGAAGAGAAACAAGAAAUCAUUGACAAAUACAAGGAAAAGCUCAAGUCAAUUGACUGCAAGCACUUUGACUUUGGGGAUGGUAACUGCCCUUUCGGAACAAGUUGUUUCUACAAGCAUGCAUAUCGAGACGGACGUGUGGAGCAGGUAGUAUUGCGACAUCUAGGGGCUGCAGAUGGAAAUACCGUAAUUGCAAAAGACAUAAGGUUGUCGGAUUUCCUUUCCAACAUGCAUUUAAGAUGAACCGUGUUGUUUGUAUGUUCCAGAUACUUGCUAAAAAAAGGCAUCCUUCAAUGUCAAAAGUUAUUUUUAUAUUGCAAGUCAAGCUCCUCUUCUUGUUUCUAUGAUAGUUUGUACAAACACUUGUGUAGGGCUUUGGAGUGUGGUCUGUAGAAAAGAAAGGUAGCAGCAGAUAACCCACAGACAAAAUAAGAAACACCGUCAUGAAUUUAUGCAGAAGCCAUAAAAUGUGUGAAAUUCAAGCAAACAUAGGCACCAGAGAAAGAAGCUGCAGACUUGUGCAUUCUGUGGUUGUAAUAAAGUGCAUGUGCUAUACAUGGUAGAUGGAGAAGCUAUGAGGGUAUAAACUUAAAUAAAAUUCAUUUUUAAAGCAUAUAAAUCGAAGUAUGGAUUGGUGGUGGUAUACUAUACUCUAUUAGAAGCAUGGUGGAAUGCACUCUUUUAGCCAUCAGUGAGACUUUUAGAAGCAUUACUUUUGUCUGGUGGAUUUCAAAGUAAUAUGAAAAAAUUGAUUGGGGUGAUGAAGUUUUCCUGUUACCAUUAUUCAGAUCUUAAAAAGAGAUACCUUUCUGUUGUAUACUUGGAUUUCCUUGCUGUGCUUGGCACUGUACCAAGAAUCUUAGGAUAAAGGAUUCAACAUGUGUUAUAUUGCUUUUCUUAUUUUCUUUAGGACUUUGUCAGAGCCCUUUUCGUGGCUUACAUUGAUUUUUUUUCUUUUUUUAUGAAUAUACCAGUACAAUCAUCAUAAGUUUCACCAA